UACGGAGGGAGCUAGCGUUAUUCGGAAUUACUGGGCGUAAAGCGCACGUAGGCGGCUUUGUAAGUAAGAGGUGAAAGCCCAGAGCUCAACUCUGGAAUUGCCUUUUAGACUGCAUCGCUUGAAUCAUGGAGAGGUCAGUGGAAUUCCGAGUGUAGAGGUGAAAAUUCGUAGAUAUCGGGGAGGAACACCAGUGGCGAAGGCGGCUCUCUGGACAGGUACUGACGCUGAGACGCGAAAAGCGUGGGUAGCAAACAGGA
This 257-nucleotide ribosomal RNA is filed under the name uncultured bacterium. RNAcentral's name for it is "partial 16S ribosomal RNA". It matches the Rfam family "Bacterial small subunit ribosomal RNA", at positions 524 to 777 of the family's 1533-position model. The record is from RNAcentral.